Xenopus tropicalis (tropical clawed frog) is the source of this 90-nucleotide non-coding RNA. The record is from Rfam. NCBI's taxonomy places the organism in Eukaryota, Metazoa, Chordata, Amphibia, Anura, Pipidae.
AGCAAUCUUGCUUUAGCAGCACGUAAAUACUGGAGUUCAUGACCAUAUCUGCACUCUCCAGUAUUACUUUGCUGCUAUAUUAAGAUUGCC